This 253-nucleotide ribosomal RNA is filed under the name uncultured bacterium. Its description in RNAcentral is "partial 16S ribosomal RNA". It matches the Rfam family "Bacterial small subunit ribosomal RNA", at positions 524 to 776 of the family's 1533-position model. The record is from RNAcentral.
UACAGAGGCCUCGAGCGUUAGGCGGAAUCACUGGGCUUAAAGCGUGUGUAGGUGGAUGCCUAAGUACCUUGUGAAAUCCCUCGGCUCAACCAAGGAAGUGCAUCCGAAACUGCUGAGCUUGAGUACUUAAGAGGAUCGCGGAAUUCCCGGUGUAGAGGUGAAAUUCGUAGAUAUCGGGAGGAACACCAGUGGCGAAGGCGGCGAUCUGGGAAGAUACUGACGCUGAGGUGCGAAAGCGUGGGGAGCAAACAGG